This 77-nucleotide transfer RNA is filed under the name Dehalococcoidia bacterium. RNAcentral describes it as "tRNA-Arg". It matches the Rfam family "tRNA". Rfam says of the family: Transfer RNA (tRNA) molecules are approximately 80 nucleotides in length. Their secondary structure includes four short double-helical elements and three loops (D, anti-codon, and T loops). Further hydrogen bonds mediate the characteristic L-shaped molecular structure. tRNAs have two regions of fundamental functional importance: the anti-codon, which is responsible for specific mRNA codon recognition, and the 3' end, to which the tRNAs corresponding amino acid is attached (by aminoacyl-tRNA synthetases). tRNAs cope with the degeneracy of the genetic code in two manners: having more than one tRNA (with a specific anti-codon) for a particular amino acid; and 'wobble' base-pairing, i.e. permitting non-standard base-pairing at the 3rd anti-codon position. The record is from RNAcentral. Lineage: Bacteria; Bacillati; Chloroflexota; Dehalococcoidia.
GCGCUUGUAGCUCAGCGGAUUAGAGCGCUGCCCUGCGGAGGCAGAGGUCGUGGGUUCGAAUCCCACCAAGCGUACCA